AACGAACGCUGGCGGCAUGCCUAACACAUGCAAGUCGAACGAGACCUUCGGGUCUAGUGGCGCACGGGUGCGUAACGCGUGGGAACCUGCCUUUAGGUUCGGAAUAACUCAGAGAAAUUUGAGCUAAUACCGGAUAAUGUCUUCGGACCAAAGAUUUAUCGCCUUUAGAUGGGCCCGCGUAAGAUUAGCUAGUUGGUGGGGUAAAGGCCUACCAAGGCGACGAUCUUUAGCUGGUCUGAGAGGAUGAUCAGCCACACUGGGACUGAGACACGGCCCAGACUCCUACGGAGGCAGCAGUGGGGAAUAUUGGACAAUGGGCGAAAGCCUGAUCCAGCAAUGCCGCGUGAGUGAUGAAGGCCUUAGGGUUGUAAAGCUCUUUUACCCGAGAUGAUAAUGACAGUAUCGGGAGAAUAAGCU
Molecule: ribosomal RNA, 417 nt
Filed under: uncultured bacterium
Lineage: Bacteria
Description: bacterial SSU rRNA
Rfam family: Bacterial small subunit ribosomal RNA
Source: RNAcentral